This is a non-coding RNA of Meleagris gallopavo (turkey), 6562 nucleotides long. The record is from RefSeq and is a predicted model, not a curated record. NCBI's taxonomy places the organism in Eukaryota, Metazoa, Chordata, Aves, Galliformes, Phasianidae.
UGGGUGGUUGGACUGGAUGAUCUUGAAGGUCUUUUCCAAUCUUGGCGAUUCUGUGAUUCUGUAAAGAAUGACUAAAGGUGUCUGGCCAGAGGAGUGCAGGUCCUAAUUCCUGGUCUAUUGUGGUUCUUAUGGUGCCCUACAUUUGAGUGCCUACAGGUCAAGGGGUCCUGCAAGACUCUUCUUCAUCAAGGAUCAAAUAAGAGCUACCCUGGGAGUUGGUGACAAAACCUGCCAAUUCAGGGGAGUUAGUGUUGGAUGGAAUCCCUGGGUGAGCAAUGUGGACUGGGGUGAACCUUGGGAUCUUCUCAGGUAGUGAGGAGCACAGGAUAAGAGUUGAAAUAGUCUGAAUAAUUUAUGAAGUGAAUGAUUUUCAAUUGCCUAUAUUGCUCUUUCUGAUACUGACAUUGGAAAGGCAGAAUGUUGGGACUAUAGAGAUGCUAGCUAGAGUAAGUGGCUUGUUCUCAUCCCAUAUUAAUACAAUAUUUGGCAUCCGAAGGAUGACAUUUUGCACUUAGAUUCCUGUGUAGACUAAAUCACUUUACAUGACACUGUUGUUUUCAUAUUUCUACUUAAUUUAUUUAUUGGAGUCAAUUGUUUAUAUCAGACUACUUGUGUACUGUCCAAACUUCUUCUGAUUGUGUAUACUAAGCUGUUAAGCAGAAUAGCCUUGGCUAUAGAAAGUAGCAUAGAUUUAUAUCUUCUACAUAUCUGAGAAUACCAAGGACUAGAAAAAGGUCCUGAGAAAUGUUUAAAAUACUUUUGUAAAGGAGAUUCAAGGAAACUGGCUUAGACCUACAGAGCAUAAUAGAGAGGGCAUAAUUUAUAAAAGGAAUCUAGUCUAUAUAGAACAAAUAAACUUAAAAAUUAAGACUGAAGGACAUUUUACUGCUCAAGUUCCAGAAAAAUAACAGGAAAAGAUGUGGUUAUUUAAACACUGAUAAAUGAACACAGAAAUACUAUUAGACUCUAGUCAUAUUUCAGUGUAUAAACAAACCCAGUCCUUCCUUCACAGUAACAUAACAUCAUUCUAAGGCUAAACAUAGUUGAAGGUAAGGAAAAUACUUCAUCUGAUUAUAUUAUAGUAAUCUCCCACAUUUUAGGGAUACAUUUAAGCAAAAGAAUCUAAGUGUGAGCAAGGAAAAAAAAAUGGAAAUCAUCCUACUCACAAUGUAAAAGAGACUCUGAGUUGUUAUGGAAAAGAUUAUCAUCCAUUCCUGGAAAGCAAACUUCCCGAGGAGUUCUGAAGCCCACUCACCUGCUCAGACACAAGCUAGGGGGAGGGUCUGGCUUUGGCACAUUCUGUUUUCUGUUCAAGAAAAUUUAAAUAUUUGAAUGCAGCACAUGAUAUAGCUUCCAAAAUAUCAGCCUCUGCCCAACACAGUUCUGUGUAGCUUCAGGUGUCAUUUAAGUAUGCAGAUACUCCCAGGAGCCUUGUAUGUUUCUUUACAUAUGACGUAAUUACAAAGAGGACAACAUUUUUCACCUAGAUGGUUUCUGGUGCAAAUGAUUUGCAAAGGCAUUCUUGAUUUUUGUGAAGGCAUUUGCAAACAUUCUUCCUGAUACUUGACUUCUAUUGAAGAGCCAAGUAAGGGAACGAGUAACACUUCCUAUUCUAAUAACAGAAGAAAACUCUUUCAGGAUGUGCCCUUUCCACAUUCUCAGGUUUGAAGUGCACCUCUGGUAUUGCUGAGAACCUCCAGACCUCUUGGCAUUAUGAACUUCUACAGAAACUGUUCUACCCAGAUUGCGCAAACAUGAUAGCACCAGUGUUUGGAUCCCAACAUGCCAAAAACUUUACCUUGCUUCGUGUUUCCACCUAAAGGUGGAAAGUUUUCCUUCUUGCCCAGGCUGAUUUCUGGGGUAUUAGCUAAACACUGCCAAGUUUAUGGACAAACUGAGGUUUUCACAUCUGACAGCAUCAGAUCUGUGCUGCCAGGUGAUCCAGUAGAAUAGCUGCUAUAUUCAUUACCAUGAUUAACAUUGCUUUUACAGGUGAUGCAGUCACUGGGUCUGGAUCAAGUAAAUCUCUCAUUUGUUUUGUUCCCACCAAGUUGAAACAGACUGGGUAGCAUAACUGUUUUUGAAAGAAUGCUUCAUUUCUUAAGAGAACUGCUUUAUUUCAUUCUGUAAAAUGUUGUUAAAAUGACUUUUCCACUGCAACUAUUAAGAAAAAGCAUUUCAUAUUUAUCAUUGCCAUGUCUUAACUAAGUUUCAAAUUGAUGUAUCUAUAGUGUUUUUAGAAAGAAGUUUUCAGAGUGAUUAUUAUUCUGCUUGUGCACUAUCCUAUGAAGACCAGGGACAGAAUCUGUGGUGUGGUAAAGUACCCGUCAGGAGAUUAGUCCCUGGCUUGAAGGCAACCCUAGGCUAAAGCAAACAGCUGAUAUGCUGGACAAAUGGUAGUUCUCAGAUGAAUUCAUCCCCUUAAAACUGCAAUAUGAAAGAGCUCAUUUCUCCAGCCAGGAGGACAAGAUGUGUAAUAUUUUCUGUGUUAUGAAAACAUAGCAUCUACUAAAAGUUUGUAAAAAUUGAAGUACUCAUUUUUUAUCUUCUCUGUAGUCCCCUGAGAGAUCUAAAAGCAAUAAAUGAAAAGACUGUCAGUACCUCAAGAGGAUAAUGAGAAGUUUUAUUACCCAGGAAAGAAAAGUUUAUAUUGAAGCUCAGUGGUUACCAAUUCCAUGCAUGAGAAGAUAGAGCCUAUCUUAAAAAAUGACCAAUUUUCUUUUUUCUGAUGGUGGGAAAUAUUCCUCAGAUGCUACAAUAAAUAGGCACAAAGAGAGCCAUUGGAAAACACUUAUAAAGUGCUUGUGGUCUAUUUUUCUGUCCUCACUCCACUUGUUGUGGUUGGUUCAAUAAAAGAUGCCUUGAGGUAUACCACCCUCCAAAGUUCAGACAACAACUACUGCUGCAGUUGGUGCAUGCAGCACCUCUGUAGCUACUAGCACUGCAGCAUCAGGUAGCCAGCUUCCAGAUGGAACAUUACCUCCCUGCUGGUGUAACAGGAAAAGCCCGAGGACUCAGUUUCUGAACCACAUAGAUGCAAAUGUGGUAUCCGAUAAAGCAAACAAAAAUGGGCAUUUAUGUUUUUAUUUAUGCUUAGAUUGUUAGCAUUCAGUUAAGACUUGGAAAUGACUUUAUAUUUAGGUGGUUGUCAAAUGUAUUUAUUUAAACUUAUGUAUUGAGGAAAAAAGAGGAAUAAAGGUAGCCAAGCACAACAUUUUGGCCUCAUGUACAACAGCUGACAGCACUGAUCUUGGUCACACACAGGCCUGGUCCCUACUGCCAUCAGUACUGCUGUGAGUUGAAUCCAAUGCUCCUGUAUGCUCAGUCUGCUUUCUGAGUCACAUCCUGGCUCUGUAGCUCACACUACAGAGGUGAUAUCUGCCUUGUCUAUAAGCAACAAGCAGCAGCUCACUUGCUGUGUGUUCCUGGGUGCACUGGUUGUGGUGAGCGGAUUAAUGCUGCCUAGGACUUGGACUCACCAAACCAACAGGACAUGGAUGCUGCUGGGGUUCUGUGGUAUCUAAACCCAGGAUCAGAUUAGCUGUCUUGGCACCACAUAUCUCCCUUCUCCACAGUGAAAGUGAAGCUACAGCAGUCCUCCAUCCCUGUGCCAUGGCCUGGCAUGCACCAUGGGCUCUGCUUUCUCUCCUUAGCUUCUUGGCUGCACUUCCUGGUGGUUUUGAUUCAUAUUGGUGUUAAGAAGGCUUAGUAUUAUCUGGCUUCUACAUGUGGAUCAGAUAAAUUCACUGCAGCCCAGCUACACAAAAUGCCACUUGAGAGGCAGUUUCUUACAAUCGUGAGAUGUUUGGUACAAUUUAUGUCUUGGGAAGAGUCAGGAUACUAUCUGACAAAAGAAUCCAACCAUCUGGAAUCACUUGCACGACGGCUCUUCGUUUCUAAAUCCCUAAGCAUUAAAUCUUAAAGUAUGUGCACACCCAAAAAUCCCAUUAAUGUUGACCAGAGAAAUGGCUGCAAACAAUCUUGAAAUGAGAAUUUCUUCAUGUUAAAGGCAAAUUAAAUUCCAAGUUUAAAGUAGCAAUUGAGCUUUUUAAUUGCUUCUUUCAGCUUUGGCUUUGUAAGAAGUAGAAAAUAAUUGCACAAGCAAUGGUUAAUUUAGAAAAGUCUAUUCUGAGGGGAGGUUUUGUAAGAUGUCAGAAAUAGCAGACCAUCAAUUUUACAUUGCAGCAGAAGAAUUCCAUAUUAACAAAAAAGGUCUGGCUUCAAGCAGAACUGCUGAAAUAGAAAUUGAAGAUGAUGCUACAAAUUGGUUUAUAUCAGUUUGGCUAUCUUGUAAGUAGAGCGGGAAAUAACUUAAAAUUUCUGAGUUGGUUGUAUUAUGAAAAAUCCACCUCAUUUUGUAUUAGCACACACACCUUUAUGCAUUAAAAGGCUGCCUAUAAUUUGCUAUGGCAAGUCUCUGCAGUAAAGUAAAAGACAUUUCUGUGCAAACUUAAAAAUCCAGAUUAAUCUGUUUUCCUUUCACAUAUUAAAAUGGAGCAAAAGUCUCUUAAUUUAGAUGGGUUUUUAGUACCUUUUCUGUUUUAUGGAAAUCGUUAUGUUCCUGAGGGAAAAAAAAAACCAACUUUUCUCAUGCUGAAUUUGUUAAAAUAAGCAUUCAACGAUGAAAACACUCAAAUGGAAAUACUCUCUAAAGUAAAAAAAUGUAUGCAGGUGUGAUGCAGAACAUACGAGGCCCAUCUGUUGGGAAAGCUUGCAAUAAUUAUUAUCUGUUUGCUGUAAGGGCAGUGUUACUUUAAACAACGUGGUUGUUUUUUUUGGCAUAAUGGUGAAUCCAAGGUCAUGUGUACAAGCUUUGUUUUAGAAACAUGAGAAGCAGAAGCUUGUACUGUAAAGAACAGCACAUUGACUUGGAGGACAACAGAACUAGUAAGAGCAAAACAUGCUGGAGGACUCAGAGCUUGAGCAUCUCUUACCCACUAGCAAGCAACGUGGUGCAGAAGAACCUGCACUGAGAAGAAAUCAGAAUGAAUAUUGGAUUAUUUGAAAAUUAUACAGAUUAGUCCAUCUUUAAAGGAAAUUCAGAGGGCCAUGGCCAAACAGCCUGACUACACAGACCAACAGUAGACAGCAUCCAGCAUAAAUAAAAGCAAAGUAGUACACGGAAGGUAGACAAGAAGCAUGUCUCUACUCAGGGCACCACCACUGCCUGGCUUCUGGGACCUUCUGCUCAAAAAACCCCAACUUAUCAACAGAUGAGGUUCUGGGACAAAGACUGGAUUAGAAACCACAACAGGAAAUAUAAUGAAGAACUAGUUACAUGGCACACUUUUACAAUUUGACCUGCAUCUUCAUAAUUCUGAGCUGCAUCUUAAUAUUGACUGUCUUCAGCACAAUAUGGAGCAAUGUCUGACAGACUUUGCUAUUUCCUUACUACUUGGAAGCCUUUUUCAAACAAAGAGUAGGCAUAUUUCCUGUCAUUUACUAUUGACUGUAUUGUCUCCAGCUUCCUGAUGUUCUGUAGCCACAACUUCUGAUGUUCACACAGAAAUAUGUAAAAUUGAACUUUUCUAGACAUCAGUGAAAAUCCUGCUUCUGCCACUAGCUCCCAAAGCAAGACAGGCUCAGCCAGUUGCCCCCCAGCUGUGACAAAGCACCAGCUAGCAUGCCAUAUUGUCCACACCAACCCUCCCGUCACAGUUCUCCAUCCCUGUUCCCAGUAACACUAGCAAAUGUUCCAGCACAACUCUGAGCUCAGGUACACUGAAGUCUAUUAAGUUUCCUAAACAGCUCUAAGCCUUCAUGCUGAAACCUGAAAUCACUCGCCUUCUUUUAACAAUGGCAUUUCUCACACAAAGAAGAAAAAAAAAACAAAAGAAAAAAACACAUCAGCAGAAUAGGCCCUUUCCCUCUUGUUCAUUAAGUAAUUAAUAAGACCACUGGAAACUCUCUGUGGAAUUUCACAAGGAUUAAAAUAGCAACAGAGAAGUUCAUUGCAUUGGCAAUAGUUUUGAGUAGAACAAACUAACAGGUGAACCUGUCAAGAGCUAACAUCUCUUUGCUUUCAAGUUCUUGCUUGACCAGGCCCACCAUUUAUAAUACUGUUUAAAAAAACCUCACUAUGUUAAAGAGGCACACGUGCUCAAGGCAACAUCCGGAUCUCAAGAAAGUAAAUUCUGCAUUCUGAAGAGGCAUAUUACUUCCCUGAGUUUGCAUUUUUAAGCCUCUGAGCCAACAAUCUCACCCAGAUGUGUUUUUGCCAGAAAGCUUUCUCCUCCUACUUCAGCCAAACCAUCCCACAUCCACGCCACUAUGUGCUGGCGCACAGGGUGUGUUGCCAUAAACUGCAAGGCAACACAAACCAUAGCACUAAGCACGUUUAUCUUGUCUGGGCCUCCACCACUGUGAGAUACGAAUCAAGCUAUCAGCAACGUUUCCUGGAGUAAGCUCAGUAGCAUUCACUGCUCUAUCCUUACACUGGUGAUGAGAUGUCUCUACCAGCCCUCCUCACCUUACUGUUAGUUGGAUCCAAUGAGUCUCCCAGCACCUUCACAGAACAAUGUCUCAAGGCUGAAGCUGCAGAAAUAUCAGAGAGAGGGGAAAA